GGCUUAACCGAAGAAGUGCAUCGGAAACCGGGCGACUUGAGUGCAGAAGAGGACAGUGGAAACUCCAUGUGUAGCGGUGGAAUGCGUAGAUAUAUGGAAGAACACCAGUGGCGAAGGCGGCUGUCUGGUCUGCAACUGACGCUGAGGCUCGAAAGCAUGGGUAGCGAACAGGAUUAGAUACCCUGGUAGUCCAUGCCGUAAACGAUGAGUGCUAGGUGUUGGAGGGUUUCCGCCCUUCAGUGCCGGAGCUAACGCAUUAAGCACUCCGCCUGGGGAGUACGACCGCAAGGUUGAAACUCAAAGGAAUUGACGGGGGCCCGCACAAGCGGUGGAGCAUGUGGUUUAAUUCGAAGCUACGCGAAGAACCUUACCAGGUCUUGACAUCUUGCGCUAACCUAAGAGAUUAGGCGUUCCCUUCGGGGACGCAAUGACAGGUGGUGCAUGGUCGUCGUCAGCUCGUGUCGUGAGAUGUUGGGUUAAGUCCCGCAACGAGCGCAACCCUUGUUACUAGUUGCCAGCAUUUAGUUGGGCACUCUAGUGAGACUGCCGGUGACAAACCGGAGGAAGGUGGGGACGACGUCAGAUCAUCAUGCCCCUUAUGACCUGGGCUACACACGUGCUACAAUGGACGGUACAACGAGUUGCGAACUCGCGAGAGUAAGCUAAUCUCUUAAAGCCGUUCUCAGUUCGGACUGUAGGCUGCAACUCGCCUACACGAAGUCGGAAUCGCUAGUAAUCGCGGAUCAGCAUGCCGCGGUGAAUACGUUCCCGGGCCUUGUACACACCGCCCGUCACACCAUGGAAGUUUGCAAUGCCCAAAGUCGGUGGCCUAACCAUUGGAGGAACCGCU
This 850-nucleotide ribosomal RNA is filed under the name Limosilactobacillus sp. Its description in RNAcentral is "bacterial SSU rRNA". It matches the Rfam family "Bacterial small subunit ribosomal RNA", at positions 606 to 1457 of the family's 1533-position model. Lineage: Bacteria; Bacillati; Bacillota; Bacilli; Lactobacillales; Lactobacillaceae. The record is from RNAcentral.